This 526-nucleotide ribosomal RNA is filed under the name uncultured bacterium. RNAcentral's name for it is "bacterial SSU rRNA". It matches the Rfam family "Bacterial small subunit ribosomal RNA", at positions 777 to 1300 of the family's 1533-position model. The record is from RNAcentral.
AAUAGAUACCCAGGUAGUCCAUGCCGUAAACGUUGGGAACUAGAUGUAGGGCCUGUUCCACGGGUUCUGUGUCGUAGCUAACGCAUUAAGUUCCCCGCCUGGGGAGUACGGCCGCAAGGCUAAAACUCAAAGGAAUUGACGGGGGCCCGCACAAGCGGCGGAGCAUGCGGAUUAAUUCGAUGCAACGCGAAGAACCUUACCAAGGCUUGACAUAUAGAAGAACACUGCAGAGAUGCAGGACUCUUUGGACACUUCUAUACAGGUGGUGCAUGGUUGUCGUCAGCUCGUGUCGUGAGAUGUUCGGUUAAGUCCGGCAACGAGCGCAACCCUCGUCCUAUGUUGCCAGCGGGUCAUGCCGGGGACUCAUGGGGAUACUGCCGUGGUCAACACGGAGGAAGGUGGGGAUGACGUCAAAUCAUCAUGCCCCUUAUGUCUUGGGCUUCACGCAUGCUACAAUGGCCGGUACAGAGGGUUGCGAUGCCGCGAGGUGGAGCGAAUCCCAAAAAGCCGGUCUCAGUUCGGAGUU